Molecule: ribosomal RNA, 106 nt
Filed under: Mycoplasma sp. Mirounga ES2805-ORL
Lineage: Bacteria; Bacillati; Mycoplasmatota; Mollicutes; Mycoplasmatales; Mycoplasmataceae
Source: RNAcentral
AUCAGUGGUUAUAGCAAGAGGGAUCGCCUGAUACCAUUCCGAACUCAGUAGUUAAGCCUCUUAGUGCCGACGAUAGCAGAGAUGCGAAAAUAGGGCGCCGCUUUUU